Zea mays is the source of this 3697-nucleotide RNA transcript. It is a transcript of the gene named thylakoid assembly 1, with no coding region annotated. The transcript is spliced from 20 exons. NCBI's taxonomy places the organism in Eukaryota, Viridiplantae, Streptophyta, Magnoliopsida, Poales, Poaceae. The record is from RefSeq and is a predicted model, not a curated record.
AUAGUACGCUAGUGGAUGCCCGGCUCUGCCUGGUGCGGCCAAGAUACAUUUGGGCUUAAACUGAAUAUGGGUUCGGUCGUCGGCCCACCUAGUUCCUUAUCCGUCGUCUCCUACGCCUCCAUCCACACUCCACAGCCACGCCACAGUCGUUGCCCACCACCCAGAGCACGCGGCGGCUUGUCGCCGUGCGCGCCGCCACCAUCACCACACGAGGCGCCGGAGAAAGACAUCAAGCGCACGCCCAUGGCCAUGACUCCUCACGCCUCGGCGGCCACCGUAGCCGUUACCCCUGCGUUGCGCUUUCCCCACACUUUGUCUGCCACGGGCCUCUCCUCACCGCCUCUGGCUGGGGGCUGCGGCGGCUGCCGGGUUCGGUUCCGGCCCAGCCAGCGCGGCCGAGGCACGCAGGGGCGGCGAGGUGGCUCUCACGUGUCGCGCGUGGGGGGCCUGCUGGGCACCGUAUUCGGCGGGGGCGGCCGCGACGACGGGGAGGCCACGCGGAAGAAGUACGCAGACACCGUGGCGCGUAUCAACUCCAUGGAGCUCGAGGUCUCCGCGCUCUCAGACGCUGAUUUGCGUGCACGCACCGCUGCGCUCCAGGACCGUGCUCGCUCCGGGGAAUCCCUGGAUUCCCUUCUCCCCGAAGCAUUUGCUGUUGUGAGGGAGGCUUCCAAGAGAGUUCUAGGCCUCCGGCCCUUUGAUGUGCAGUUGAUUGGUGGUAUGGUUCUGCACAAGGGGGAGAUUGCUGAAAUGAAGACCGGAGAGGGGAAGACUCUUGUGGCCAUUCUGCCAGCAUACUUAAAUGCUUUGAGUGGGAAAGGAGUGCAUGUUGUCACUGUAAAUGAUUAUCUCGCAAGACGUGAUUGUGAGUGGGUUGGUCAAGUCCCCCGAUUUCUAGGACUGCAGGUUGGCUUAAUUCAACAGAACAUGACACCUGAGCAAAGGAGGGAAAAUUACUCAUAUGAUAUUACUUAUGUCACAAACAGUGAGCUUGGUUUUGAUUAUCUAAGAGAUAACCUUGCAAUGACUGUAGAUGAACUUGUCUUGAGGAACUUCAAUUACUGUGUGAUAGAUGAAGUUGAUUCAAUCCUUAUUGAUGAAGCAAGAACACCUCUUAUAAUAUCAGGCCUAGCUGAAAAGCCAAGUGAUCGGUAUUACAAAGCAGCAAAAAUAGCUGAAGCUUUUGAGCGAGACAUUCAUUACACGGUGGAUGAAAAGCAGAGAAACGUUUUACUUACAGAAGAAGGUUAUGCUGAUGCUGAAGAAAUACUGGACAUAGAUGAUCUGUACGAUCCUCGUGAACAGUGGGCUUCGUAUAUUCUAAAUGCAAUCAAGGCUAAGGAGCUCUUCCUUAAAGAUGUCAAUUACAUUGUUCGUAGCAAGGAAGUGCUUAUUGUAGAUGAGUUUACUGGCAGAGUUAUGGCGGGCAGGCGAUGGAGUGAUGGUCUCCAUCAAGCAAUUGAAGCAAAAGAAGGUGUACCUAUACAAAAUGAAACCAUAACUCUCGCAUCAAUAAGUUACCAAAACUUCUUUCUUCAGUUCCCCAAACUAUGUGGCAUGACUGGAACUGCAGCUACAGAGACCCAAGAGUUUGAGAGCAUAUAUAAACUUAAAGUUACUGUUGUCCCAACAAACAAGCCAAUGAUACGGAAGGAUGACUCAGAUGUUGUUUUCAGAGCAACAAAUGGAAAAUGGCGUGCUGUUCUUGUUGAGAUAUCAAGAAUGAAUAAAGUUGGCCGUCCUGUGCUUGUUGGUACCACCAGUGUUGAGCAAAGCGAAUCUUUAUCAAAGCAAUUGCGUGAAGCUGGGAUUCCUCACGAGGUCCUGAAUGCUAAGCCAGAGAAUGUUGAGAGGGAGGCAGAGAUCGUAGCUCAGAGUGGACGCCUUGGUGCUGUGACAAUUGCUACCAAUAUGGCGGGACGUGGAACUGAUAUUAUCCUUGGUGGCAAUGCAGAAUUCAUGGCCAGGUUGAAGUUGCGUGAGAUCCUUAUGCCAAGAGUCGUCAAUCCAAUAGAUGGUGUUAUUGUAUCCAAAAAGCAGAUGCCACCAAGAAAGACAUGGAAGACAAAUGAAAGCUUGUUCCCAUGUGAACUUUCAAAAGAAACAUUAUCGUCUGUCAAGGAUACAGUUGAAAUGGCUGUCAAAGAAUGGGGAGAUAAAUCAUUAACUGAACUGGAAGCAGAAGAGCGGCUGUCCUAUUCAUGUGAGAAGGGACCAACACGUGAUGAAGUAAUAGCGAAUUUGAGAAAUGCAUUUGUGAAGAUAGCAGACGAAUAUAAAGUUUACACUGAGGAGGAAAAGCAGAAGGUCAUUACAGUAGGUGGGCUUCACGUAGUAGGAACAGAGCGCCAUGAAUCACGCAGAAUUGACAAUCAGCUCCGUGGUCGAAGUGGAAGACAGGGGGAUCCUGGAAGCUCUCGCUUCUUUCUUAGUCUCGAGGAUAAUAUUUUCCGGAUCUUUGGAGGUGACAGGAUACAGGGUCUGAUGCAAGCAUUCCGAGUUGAAGAUCUUCCUAUCGAAUCGAAAAUGCUAACGAGGGCUCUAGAUGAAGCGCAGCGGAAAGUUGAGAAUUACUUUUUUGACAUCAGGAAGCAGUUGUUUGAGUAUGAUGAGGUAUUGAAUAGCCAGAGAGAUCGUGUAUAUGCGGAAAGAAGACGUGCUCUUGCAUCUGACAGUCUUCAAUCACUUAUUGUGGAAUAUGCUGAAUUGACAAUGGACGACAUAUUAGGGGUUGGUUAUGGCUAACAUAGGACCUGAUACUCCAAAGGAAAAUUGGGACCUGAACAAACUUAUAGCUAAGCUGCAACAGUAUUGCCAUCUGUUGGAUGACUUGACACCAGAAUUGUUGGAGGGCAAAAGCUCAAGCUACGACGAUUUGCGGGAGUACCUGCGUAAGCGAGGGCGUGAAGCUUACUUCCAGAAAACUGAAAUUGUGGAGAAGCAAGCUCCUGGAUUGAUGAAGGAAGCUGAGCGGUUUCUAAUUCUCAGCAAUAUUGAUAGGCUGUGGAAAGAGCAUCUGCAGGCACUAAAGUUUGUCCAACAAGCUGUUGGUUUAAGGGGUUAUGCCCAACGAGAUCCCCUUAUUGAGUAUAAACUUGAGGGAUAUAAUCUUUUCUUAGACAUGAUGGCUCAAAUCAGGAGGAAUGUUAUUUAUUCUGUAUAUCAGUUCAAACCAGUAGUGAAGAACCAAGAAGGGGAAGCAUCCCAAAAGGUGUCAAAAAAGAAACUGGACAAAGGAGCUAACAAACUUGGUGCUGCCCAAGCUGCGUCAUGAUCUUCCUGUGAGAAACGUUGCUGGUGCUUUUAGUUGCAGUGGCUGCAGUCUCCACGUGUACAAAGAUGGUCUAUACUCGAUACCGUAUGAGAAAUGUACUUCAUGCAUGUUUUUGCAGGAUUAGCAUGAACAGGCACGCAGAAUUCCGAAUGUACUAGUAGAAGAUAUUUGCUGGUAGCAGUGCCAACUGACUAGAAUGAUAAUACAGAGGAACUCCAUUGCAUGGAUCAAAUGCUAAACAACAGCUGUUGAAUCACUCAAUUGUCUUACUGGAACACGCCAUUACCAUUUAUUUUCGCGUGUUGUGUUCAUUUGAUGGCUGUAUCCAAUUGCAUUCCCAAAAUCAAAUACGAUGUACACUUCGUUGAGAGAGCGAAUGUUCUUCCCUAUGCAUAAAAUAAUAAAAAAACGUGGAUCCUCUCA